RNAcentral lists this ribosomal RNA (461 nucleotides) under uncultured bacterium. RNAcentral describes it as "partial 16S ribosomal RNA". It matches the Rfam family "Bacterial small subunit ribosomal RNA", at positions 338 to 795 of the family's 1533-position model. The record is from RNAcentral.
CCUACGGGAUGCAGCAGUGAGGAAUAUUGGUCAAUGGGCGCGAGCCUGAACCAGCCAAGUCGCGUGAGGGAUGACGGUCCUACGGAUUGUAAACCUCUUUUGCCGGGGAGCAAGCGUGCGUUCGUGAACGCGCGUCGAGAGUACCCGGAGAAAAAGCAUCGGCUAACUCCGUGCCAGCAGCCGCGGUAAUACGGAGGAUGCGAGCGUUAUCCGGAAUCAUUGGGCGUAAAGAGGGAGCAGGCGGCCUGGAGGGUCUAUUGUUAAAAGGCAAUGGCUUAACCAUUGUAAGGCGAAGAAACCGGCAGGCUAGAGUUCUAAAGAGGAUCGUGGAAUUCCAUGUGUAGCGGUGAAAUGCGUAGAUAUAUGGAGGAACACCAGUGGCGAAGGCGACGAUCUGGGAAGAAACAGACGCUGAGUCCCGAAAGCGUGGGGAGCAAAUAGGAUUAGAUACCCUUGUAGUC